This 250-nucleotide ribosomal RNA is filed under the name uncultured bacterium. Its description in RNAcentral is "partial 16S ribosomal RNA". It matches the Rfam family "Bacterial small subunit ribosomal RNA", at positions 57 to 305 of the family's 1533-position model. The record is from RNAcentral.
GCAAGUCGAGCGGAAACGAGAAUAGCUUGCUAUUCGGCGUCGAGCGGCGGACGGGUGAGUAAUGCUUGGGAAUAUGCCUUGAGGUGGGGGACAACAGUUGGAAACGACUGCUAAUACCGCAUAAUGUCUACGGACCAAAGUGGGGGACCUUCGGGCCUCACGCCAUAAGAUUAGCCCAAGUGGGAUUAGCUAGUUGGUGAGGUAAUGGCUCACCUAGGCGACGAUCCCUAGCUGUUCUGAGAGGAUGAUC